UCUCUGUCUUUUGUGGCACCUUUACUCUCUGCUCCGUGUCUGCACACCUGUUCCUCGUUUAAUUAGUUGUAUUUAGUUCCACCUGAGUCCCUCCUUCACUGCUUCAUCAUUAUUCUUUUUUGACGGAUGUGGAUCGGACGGGUUUUAUUCGCAGUCAAUUUGAAGGAGUCUGUUCAUCUACAAUACAAGCGCUACAACAGUACACAAGUCUUACACAAUGUGUUAUGGGUCACGUUCCUGCUUCUCCUCCUGCUGUGCGGACUGAGUGCAUGGCGGAGCACAUCAACAGGUGUUCCCUCUCCGCUGCGGGUAUGCCUCUGCAAGAGAUCUGCAAUCAACACACCUGCCGGUGAUGAGCAACCAGCCUUCAUAAGCCAGCGCGUCUUAAGAUCCGGUGCCAGAACGUAGUUUCUCCUACCAGUACACUUCCUCAUCGUCUACCUGGACCCACUUUGGAUUCCUUCUUGCCUUCCUGGACCAAGACCUCGCUCCUGCCCUCUGACGUCCAAGCCUUUUUCUUCUUUUGGACUUCCACCUCUAUCUCAACACGCACACUCAACACCCUCUGGUGACCACGCUCAGAUAAUACUUACACAUAGUCACACUCCAUCUCUUUAAGGUAAUCACACACUGCACUCACAUACUGAGUUGUCAAUAAACACGCUGGCAGCUAA
Molecule: long non-coding RNA, 674 nt
Organism: Nerophis ophidion (straightnose pipefish)
Lineage: Eukaryota; Metazoa; Chordata; Actinopteri; Syngnathiformes; Syngnathidae
Exons: 4
Source: RefSeq, a predicted model, not a curated record